This 253-nucleotide ribosomal RNA is filed under the name uncultured bacterium. RNAcentral's name for it is "partial 16S ribosomal RNA". It matches the Rfam family "Bacterial small subunit ribosomal RNA", at positions 524 to 776 of the family's 1533-position model. The record is from RNAcentral.
UACAGAGGUCCCGAACGUUGUUCGGAUUCAUUGGGCGUAAAGGGUGCGUAGGCGGCGGGGCAAGUCUGAUGUGAAAUCCCGGGGCUCAACCCCGGAACUGCAUUGGAUACUGCCUUGCUCGAGUACUGGAGAGGGAACUGGAAUUUACGGUGUAGCAGUGAAAUGCGUAGAGAUCGUAAGGAAGGCCAGUGGCGAAGGCGAGUUCCUGGACAGUUACUGACGCUGAGGCACGAAGGCCAGGGGAGCAAACGGG